AGUUUGAUCCUGGCUCAGAACGAACGUUGGCGGCGUGGAUUAGGCAUGCAAGUCGUGGGAAUCCCAGCAAUGGGGGAACCGGCGUAAGGGGCAGUAAGGCAUAGGUACCUACCCUCGGGUUCGGGAUAGCUCUUGGAGACAAGAGGUAAUACCGGAUGAUGUCGUGAGACCAAAGGUCCGCCGCCCGGGGAGGGGCCUAUGUGAUAUUAGCUAGUUGGUGAGGUAACGGCUCACCAAGGCGAAGAUGUCUAGCGGGUGUGAGAGCACGACCCGCGCCACUGGCACUGAGACACUGGCCAGACACCUACGGGUGGCUGCAGUCGAGGAUCUUCGGCAAUGGGCGCAAGCCUGA
Molecule: ribosomal RNA, 352 nt
Filed under: uncultured bacterium
Lineage: Bacteria
Description: bacterial SSU rRNA
Rfam family: Bacterial small subunit ribosomal RNA
Source: RNAcentral